This 253-nucleotide ribosomal RNA is filed under the name uncultured bacterium. Its description in RNAcentral is "partial 16S ribosomal RNA". It matches the Rfam family "Bacterial small subunit ribosomal RNA", at positions 524 to 776 of the family's 1533-position model. The record is from RNAcentral.
UACGAAGGGGGCUAGCGUUGUUCGGAAUUACUGGGCGUAAAGCGCACGUAGGCGGACUAUUAAGUCAGGGGUGAAAUCCCGGAGCUCAACUCCGGAACUGCCUUUGAUACUGGUAGCCUAGAGAUCGGAAGAGGUGAGUGGAAUUCCCAGUGUAGAGGUGAAAUUCGUAGAUAUUGGGAAGAACACCAGUGGCGAAGGCGGCUCACUGGUCCGAUACUGACGCUGAGUUGCGAAAGCCAGGGGAGCAAACGGG